This 619-nucleotide ribosomal RNA is filed under the name uncultured bacterium. RNAcentral describes it as "bacterial SSU rRNA". It matches the Rfam family "Bacterial small subunit ribosomal RNA", at positions 338 to 954 of the family's 1533-position model. The record is from RNAcentral.
CCUACGGGAGGCAGCAGUGGGGAAUUUUGGACAAUGGGGGCAACCCUGAUCCAGCAAUGCCGCGUGAGUGAAGAAGGCCUUCGGGUUGUAAAGCUCUUUUGUCAGGGAAGAAACAGCAGCUCUAACACAGCUGUGAAUGACGGUACCUGAAGAAUAAGCACCGGCUAACUACGUGCCAGCAGCCGCGGUAAUACGUAGGGUGCAAGCGUUAAUCGGAAUUACUGGGCGUAAAGCGUGCGCAGGCGGUUAUAUAAGACAGGUGUGAAAUCCCCGGGCUUAACCUGGGAAUUGCAUCUGUGACUGUAUAGCUAGAGUGUGUCAGAGGGGGGUAGAAUUCCACGUGUAGCAGUGAAAUGCGUAGAUAUGUGGAGGAAUACCAAUGGCGAAGGCAGCCCCCUGGGAUAACACUGACGCUCAUGCACGAAAGCGUGGGGAGCAAACAGGAUUAGAUACCCUGGUAGUCCACGCCCUAAACGAUGCUGACUAGUUGUUCGGGAUUUUAUCCUGAGUAACGUAGCUAACGCGUGAAGUCAGCCGCCUGGGGAGUACGGUCGCAAGNUUAAAACCGUCGAAAGGAUUGACGGCGNGAGAGNGCGACGGACGACGACGAGGGAGGAGG